UUGCACGCUGGCGGCAGGCCUAACACAUGCAAGUCGCACGGUAACAGGAAGAAGCUUGCUUCUUUGCUGACGAGUGGCGGACGGGUGAGUAAUGUCUGGGAAACUGCCUGAUGGAGGGGGAUAACUACUGGAAACGGUAGCUAAUACCGCAUAACGUCGCAAGACCAAAGAGGGGGACCUUCGGGCCUCUUGCCAUCGGAUGUGCCCAGAUGGGAUUAGCUAGUAGGUGGGGUAACGGCUCACCUAGGCGACGAUCCCUAGCUGGUCUGAGAGGAUGACCAGCCACACUGGAACUGAGACACGGUCCAGACUCCUACGGGAGGCAGCAGUGGGGAAUAUUGCACAAUGGGCGCAAGCCUGAUGCAGCCAUGCCGCGUGUAUGAAGAAGGCCUUCGGGUUGUAAAGUACUUUCAGCGGGGAGGAAGGGAGUAAAGUUAAUACCUUUGCUCAUAGACGUUACCCGCAGAAGAAGCACCGGCUAACUCCGUG
RNAcentral lists this ribosomal RNA (489 nucleotides) under uncultured bacterium. Its description in RNAcentral is "partial 16S ribosomal RNA". It matches the Rfam family "Bacterial small subunit ribosomal RNA", at positions 30 to 507 of the family's 1533-position model. The record is from RNAcentral.